CGGCGGAUCAGCCCGCGCCCCGUAAAACGGGACGGCCCGCCGCAGGAAACCCUAAACUCUGUUUUUAGUGGAACUUUCUGAGUAUAAAAAACAAAUAAAUCAAAACUUUCAACAACGGAUCUCUUGGUUCUGGCAUCGAUGAAGAACGCAGCAAAAUGCGAUAAGUAAUGUGAAUUGCAGAAUUCAGUGAAUCAUCGAAUCUUUGAACGCACAUUGCGCCCGCCAGUAUUCUGGCGGGCAUGCCUGUUCGAGCGUCAUUUCAACCCUCAAGCCCAGCUUGGUGUUGGGAUCUGUCCUUACCGACAGUCCCCAAAUUGAUUGGCGGUCACGUCGAGCUUCCAUAGCGUAGUAAUUUACACAUCGUUACUGGUAAUCGUCGCGGCCACGCCGUUAAACCCCAACUUCUGAAUGUUGACCUCGGAUCAGGUAGGAAUACCCGCUGAACUUAAGCAUAUC
Molecule: ribosomal RNA, 456 nt
Filed under: Fusarium langsethiae
Lineage: Eukaryota; Fungi; Ascomycota; Sordariomycetes; Hypocreales; Nectriaceae
Description: eukaryotic LSU rRNA
Rfam family: 5.8S ribosomal RNA (bases 104-257)
Source: RNAcentral